AUAGUGGGGCCCACGAGCAGGAGCAAGGCGGCACACCUCUCGUCUCGACAACGGCGGCGGCGGCGGCGGCGGCGGCGCGCGCGCGCGGUGCUCGGUGAAAUGCCCGCGCGAGCCGGGGGCUCUUGAAUACGACGCCACGCUCCCCAUGCUCGCCGCGCGCGGCCUCCGUCGUCUUGCGGCGGCGAUAUGCCUCGCGCGUCGCUCUUCGUCGGCGGUGGCAGCGCUCCCGGCGGCCGGGGCCGCGCGGUUCCACGACUACGACGCCGCCGUCACGGAGUGCAUCGAGAGGCGGGCGCUCCGGGUGGGGCGGCCGGUGCACGCGCGCAUGGUGGCGGCGGGGUACCGCCCGGCGCUGUACCUGGCGACGCGGCUGGUCAUCAUGUACGCGAGGUGCGGCGCGCUGGGGGACGCGCGGAACGUGCUCGACGGGAUGCCCAAGCGAAACGUGGUUUCGUGGACGGCCAUGAUUUCGGGGUAUUCUCAGAACGAACGGCCUGCCGAGGCCUUGGAGCUGUUCAUCACAAUGCUCAGAGCUGGAUGCGAGCCUAACGAAUUCACUUUAUCAUCAGUCCUUACAUCAUGUACUGGUUUUCAAGGCAUACAUCAGGUCAAGCAAGUCCAUGCUUUUGCUGUCAAAACAAAUUUUGAGUUACACAUGUUUGUAGGGAGUGCCCUUCUUGACAUGUAUGCCAAGUCAGAGAAUGUCCAGGAAGCUCGGAGGGUGUUCGAUAUGCUUCCAGCAAGGGAUGUUGUUUCCUAUACCGCCAUUAUAUCUGGCUACACUCAUCUGGGCCUUGAUGAGGAAGCCUUGGGUUUGUUCAGGCAGUUGUACAAUGAGGGGAUGCAAAUGCAAUGCAAUCAAGUUACCUUCACAACCCUUCUCAAUGCACUGUCUGGCCUUGCUUCCCUCGAUUAUGGCAAGCAGGUUCAUGGGCUAAUACUUCGAAAAGAGUUGCCAUUUUUCAUGGCUUUACAGAAUUCUUUGAUUGAUAUGUACUCCAAAUGUGGCAAGCUUUUAUACUCACGAAGGGUAUUUGACAACAUGCCAGAGAGAUCAGUCGUCAGCUGGAAUGCGAUACUUAUGGGGUAUGGAAGGCAUGGCUUAGCGCGUGAAGUUGCUCAGCUUUUUAGAUCUAUGCCUGAAGAAGUAAAUCCUGACAGUGUUACUCUGUUGGCUGUUUUGUCUGGCUAUAGUCAUGGUGGGCUUGUUGAUGAGGGCCUUGAUAUGUUUGAUCUUAUAGUCAAAGAACAGAGCACACUCCUCAAUAUUGAACAUUAUGGGUGUGUUAUUGAUCUUCUUGGGCGUUCUGGACGACUUCAAAAGGCACUAAAUUUGAUACAAAAGAUGCCAUUUGAACCAACUCGAGCAAUUUGGGGUUCAUUGCUUGGUGCGUGUAGAGUUCAUGUUAAUAUUCCUGUUGGUGAGCUUGUCGCUCGGAAGCUUCUUGACAUUGAACCAGAAAAUGCUGGCAACUACGUGAUCCUUUCUAAUAUCUAUGCUGCUGCUGGGAUGUGGAAAGAUGUUUUCAGAGUGAGGAAGUUAAUGUUGAAGAAUACAGUGAUAAAGGAACCAGGGCGGAGCUGGAUGAUUCUUGACAAGGUUAUUCAUACCUUCCACUCUAGUGAGCGUUUCCACCCCAGGAAAGAAGAUAUAAAUGCUAAGAUUAAGGAGAUAUACAUUGAUAUUAAAGCAGCUGGUUUUAUUCCUGACCUGAGCUGUGUACUUCAUGAUGUUGAUGAUGAGCAGAAAGAACGCAUGCUUCUGGGCCACAGUGAGAAGCUAGCCAUAACUUUUGGAUUGAUGAGCACUCCUUCAGGCUUGCCCAUCCAGGUUAUGAAGAAUCUUCGCAUCUGUGUUGACUGCCACAAUUUUGCAAAGGUUGUUUCGAAAGUUUAUGGAAGAGAAAUAUCCCUCAGAGACAGAAAUCGCUUUCAUCUAAUUACAGAAGGAGCUUGCACCUGUGGAGAUUACUGGUGAAAGUGCUAUACUGCUCAAAUUGCUUUGCUGAUAGGAGAGCUGUCCUUGUGAUAAUACUGCAGAUGAUAUGCAAUGGUCCACUGAACACACUGAGAGGAACUAAUGGAACAUAUCAAUAUCAUGUGCUCCACCUUCUGAUUUCAGAUUACUACAGUUCAGAAAGGAAUUUUUGCAAAGAAUGUACCUUACCUAAACCAUUCUAAUAAUAACUUCACAUGCUAUGCUUGCAGACUCCCAGGGCUAUAUUGCAAUUUGCCAGAUAAUCACGUGCCUUGUAGGCAGUAUCCAUAGCAAGCACUGAAAAAUGCUUCUAAUACUGCAAACCGGCAGUUCAAACAUUUACAUUUCUGAAAAGAGUUCGUUGCUGUAGUUAGCAUUUGUAAUAUUUGUUGGCUGAUGAUAUAAAAGUUGUGUAUGCUAUGGCAUACAUUUGAUAAAAAUCUCCUGGAACAGACUGUGCCAGAAUUUCCAUUCGUACGCUCCUUCAAAAUGUAUAGUGUACACUGUAUAAAGUGGCAGUAUGUCUGUAUGACUGUAUGGAUAAAAGUCAAAUCUGAAAUUCCGUGCAUUUCUUUUCCUCCA
RNA transcript from Panicum virgatum (switchgrass), 2560 nucleotides. It is a transcript of the gene named putative pentatricopeptide repeat-containing protein At3g13770, mitochondrial, with no coding region annotated. The transcript is spliced from 3 exons. Lineage: Eukaryota; Viridiplantae; Streptophyta; Magnoliopsida; Poales; Poaceae. The record is from RefSeq and is a predicted model, not a curated record.